Long non-coding RNA from Suricata suricatta (meerkat), 505 nucleotides. RefSeq lists it as uncharacterized. The record is from RefSeq and is a predicted model, not a curated record. The transcript has 4 exons. Lineage: Eukaryota; Metazoa; Chordata; Mammalia; Carnivora; Herpestidae.
AUGUUUCCAGGUCAGUGGAACUCUACAUGUGCUGUCUUCAGGUCACAGCUUUUAAGUCUCGUCUGUGUCUCAAACCUGUAACAGGGCUGAGGAAAGACUGACUCAUAAAGAGAAGGAAGUAUGCAGCUGAGCAGAGGCAAUAUUGACUACUUCAACGUGGAACACCCGUAUUAUCUUCUCAGAGGGAUUCUGAUGCCUUUCUUCAUGACUGCAAGCUCUCCAACAGUUGUCUGAUGAAGACUCCAACCAAUAUUUUUUGUCUCAGUCAAAAGUCAUCAGUACCGUCAUACCUCACUCCUCAAGAAUUCCUCCUUCUUCAUUUAGAAGCCCCGAUGCUAGGAAGAUAUGCGAGUUCUUUGGAACUGUCUAAAGUCACCAACUAAAACUGGAUCAUGCAGUCACUUUGUAUAUACAAAGUAUGUCUCUUGUAGACAGAACAAAGUUGGAUCUAUUUAAUUUAGUCUGCCAAAUCCUGCUUUUUGAUUGGAGUGUGUAAUCCAACAAG